UAGAGUUCUUUACCACUCUUAAACCCUUUGUGAACCAUUAUAACCCGUUGCUUCGGCGGCGCGGCCCAGCGCCGUGCCCGCCGGUAACUUCAGAAUCUCUGUUCGAACCCGACGUUACAUCUGAGUGUUCUAAGCGAACUGUUA
This 144-nucleotide unclassified non-coding RNA is filed under the name uncultured Gibellulopsis. RNAcentral describes it as "sequence contains ITS1". The record is from RNAcentral. Lineage: Eukaryota; Fungi; Ascomycota; Sordariomycetes; Hypocreales; Hypocreaceae.